UGGGCAUAUAUACCACAUUUUCUUCAGGCAGUCCUCCACGAGUGGCAUUUGGAUUGUUUCCAUCUCUUGGCUAUUGUAAUGCUGUAAUAACAUAAGUGAAAGAUCUCUUUUUUUAAAUGUAUUUUUAUUGGACACAAUGCCUUUAUUUUAUUUAUUUUUAUGUGGUGUUGAGGAUCGAACCCAGCGCCUCACACAUGCUAGACAAGCGCUCUACUACUGAGCCACAACCCCAGCCCCAAGAUCUCUUUUUUUAAACCAACUUGUUGAGAUAUAAUUCACAUACCAUACAGUUCACCCAUUUAAUAUGUACAAUUCAUUGGUUUUUAGGAUAUGGAAAGAUAUGUGCAACCAUUAAUUCUAGAACAUUUCCUCCACCUCAGAAAGAAACCUACUUUGUCUAUUUUGUCUGUCAUUGCUCAUCCCGAUCCUCCCCACCCAGCUCUGAGCAACCACUAAUUUGCUCUCUCUAAAAAUUUCUCUGAGACUUUCCUAUAAAUGAAAUAAUAUAUGACCUUUUGUGGCUGGCUUUUUUUCACUUAACACAGUGGGUUUUUCUUUGUUAGUUUAGGAGAUGGUGUUUCACUGUGUAGCCCAGGCUGGCUCAAACUCCUGGGCUUAAGGGGACCCUCAGCCUCAGCCUCAGGGUAGCUGGAUACAGGUGUGUGCUAUCACGUUUUGGUGGCAUCAUGCAUCCAUGAGGUCACAUACAUGUAUUAUUGUUUCACUUCUUUUUGUCCCUGAAUAAUAUCCCAUUGUAUGGAUACAACAUAUUUUUUCUUCUUGGUCUGGGGGAAGAAACCCAGCCCACACACAUGCCAGGCAAGCUCUCUACCAUUAAGCUAUACUCCUAAUCCUUACAUUUAAAAUAAUCCAUUCAUCAAUUGGUAAAUAUUUGUUUCCCACCUUUUGAAUAUUUAUGAAUAAUGCUACUUAAG
RNAcentral lists this long non-coding RNA (935 nucleotides) under Marmota monax (woodchuck). The record is from RNAcentral. Lineage: Eukaryota; Metazoa; Chordata; Mammalia; Rodentia; Sciuridae.